Molecule: ribosomal RNA, 990 nt
Filed under: Salmonella enterica subsp. enterica serovar Virchow
Lineage: Bacteria; Pseudomonadati; Pseudomonadota; Gammaproteobacteria; Enterobacterales; Enterobacteriaceae
Also listed under: 1 other name
Description: partial 23S ribosomal RNA
Rfam family: Bacterial large subunit ribosomal RNA
Source: RNAcentral
AAUCCAUAGGUUAAUGAGGCGAACCGGGGGAACUGAAACAUCUAAGUACCCCGAGGAAAAGAAAUCAACCGAGAUUCCCCCAGUAGCGGCGAGCGAACGGGGAGGAGCCCAGAGCCUGAAUCAGCAUGUGUGUUAGUGGAAGCGUCUGGAAAGGCGCGCGAUACAGGGUGACAGCCCCGUACACAAAAGCGCAUGUGCUGUGAGCUCGAUGAGUAGGGCGGGACACGUGGUAUCCUGUCUGAAUAUGGGGGGACCAUCCUCCAAGGCUAAAUACUCCUGACUGACCGAUAGUGAACCAGUACCGUGAGGGAAAGGCGAAAAGAACCCCGGCGAGGGGAGUGAAAAAGAACCUGAAACCGUGUACGUACAAGCAGUGGGAGCACCCUUUUGGGUGUGACUGCGUACCUUUUGUAUAAUGGGUCAGCGACUUAUAUUCUGUAGCAAGGUUAACCGAAUAGGGGAGCCGGAGGGAAACCGAGUCUUAAUUGGGCGUUAAGUUGCAGGGUAUAGACCCGAAACCCGGUGAUCUAGCCAUGGGCAGGUUGAAGGUUGGGUAACACUAACUGGAGGACCGAACCGACUAAUGUUGAAAAAUUAGCGGAUGACCUGUGGCUGGGGGUGAAAGGCCAAUCAAACCGGGAGAUAGCUGGUUCUCCCCGAAAGCUAUUUAGGUAGCGCCUCGUGAAUUCAUCUCCGGGGGUAGAGCACUGUUUCGGCUAGGGGGCCAUCCCGGCUUACCAACCCGAUGCAAACUGCGAAUACCGGAGAAUGUUAUCACGGGAGACACACGGCGGGUGCUAACGUCCGUCGUGAAGAGGGAAACAACCCAGACCGCCAGCUAAGGUCCCAAAGUCAUGGUUAAGUGGGAAACGAUGUGGGAAGGCCCAGACAGCCAGGAUGUUGGCUUAGAAGCAGCCAUCAUUUAAAGAAAGCGUAAUAGCUCACUGGUCGAGUCGGCCUGCGCGGAAGAUGUAACGGGGCUAAACCAUG